This 2664-nucleotide ribosomal RNA is filed under the name Triticum aestivum (bread wheat). Its description in RNAcentral is "partial small subunit ribosomal RNA". The record is from RNAcentral. Lineage: Eukaryota; Viridiplantae; Streptophyta; Magnoliopsida; Poales; Poaceae.
GAGGGAAAGAGGGGAGGAGAGGGAGGGAGGGUGCGUAGAGUGGGCGGCGGCGGGUUCGUGGGGCGGCGGGGCGGCUGCGGCUGCGGCCAGGGGCGGCGGACGAAGGCGGGCUGAAGCUAAGCGCUAACCUAACGGUUCCGGCGAGCGACGGGGCCUCCUCCAGCCCCUUUCCGUCGGUGGUCGGUCGGCAGGUGCGGUCCGCGCUGCCCCAAGGGCGAGGCGACGAACCUGGGCCUUGUCGUGCAUGGAUACUCUAGCUGGCCGAGUGUCUCGCGCCGGUCUCGUCGAAGACAAGGGCGGUUGCAGCAUGGGGCACCGUCUUGUCGCGCGCUGCGGAAGCGGGACACGAGCACCGCUGCUGCCCGCUCGUCGGCUCGCGCGCGGGGACCGGGCCGGGGCGCCGUUCCGUUGUGGCCCGCCGACCAAAUAAGGAGCACCAGAGAGCGGUAUUACGAGGGAGGCGGACCAGGUGCAGGUGACCAACGACGAGUAGUAGGGCCACGUACUGUCUUUUAUACACUUGCGGUAGGGUCCUGUCUCUUUCUCCGUGAUACCUGAUCCCUAAUGAACGACCGAUGGUUGUUGACUUUUAUACUCUGUACCUAACUGUACCUUUGUUCUCUUUCUUCUUUGUUUUUAUUCGUAAUAUCUGAUCUACUACUCUUGUUACCAAAGAGAGUCACGUUAUACGAAUCAACUACCUCGUACGAGGACCCUGUAUGGUCCGAUUUCACUACAAGGUCUCAUGUGUACCUUUCACUGAACUACCUUCAGUUGCUGUACCAUUGUCCCACUAACCUAAAACACAAGAAAACGCGUUAAGUAAAUAUACAAGUAAAGUUUAGUCAAUCGUUACUGUAAGUUACACCUUCCUUCCAUUUUGUUGAAUACUAAAGAUUCAUCCUCAUAUAUAAUAAAGGUCCGAAACCAAAAUGAAAAAAACCGAAAUUACCCAGGAUGGUCACACGUAACCCUUUUUAAUAAAGUUAGAUUCACCGUUGUCCAAGGUUGCACAUAUACAUAAUACACGAUUGUGUGUAUUCAGGAGUUCAUAUAGUGGGUAGUACAGUGAUUGAAGGACAGGUACUGUGUGGGUACGACGACGUACAACAAUCGUGUAACUUGAGGAAGGCACUGAUGGAAUUGAGGACUUCGACACCGGAUGAGACAACGGUCAAAGCAUCUCAUACUAGGAAAAACCGGGAAAAAUACUUCAACCGAUAUAAUAGGAACUCGAAUCAAAAUAAACCCUCCCUCUCUCUCCUUCUUUCCAACUACUGGGUGGUAGGUUGUCGGUUGGGAUGGUUUGAACCUUUACUAUUAUAAUCCGUAAGAUAACGUUCAAUCUUCAUGUUAUUUUGUCGUUGUAACAGAUAAGUAAACGGAUGAACUUAUGAUUUGUUCUAAUGAAGGAGUUAAAAUUGGUCCGUACUACUAAGUGCUUAAAUAUAUACCCCUUUUAAGCAAUCGAAGAACUACAUAACGAUAUUAACAAAAAAUGCAUAUUCUAGACAAUCUAUAUUAGAAGUAUAACAUAUAUAUGUGCAUGAAUUUUUCAUGUUUUAUUUCCUUAAAGGUAUCAUCGAAUCAGUUCUCUUUCUUGUUCUUGAUUAAUUUGUUAUAUAAUGAGGGAAGCAGAGACAAUCUAUAUUAGAAGUGUAACAUAUAUAUGUGCAUGAAUUUUUCAUGUUUUAUUUCCUUAAAGGUAUCAUCGAAUCAGUUCUCUUUUUUGUUCUUUAUUAAUUUGUUAUAAUGAGGGAAGCAGACCUAAAAAAAUCACAAUCUAUGUAGGUAAACUCGCUGUUUAUUAAACCCUACCCCCUUCAUAGUCCUUUCUGUCUAAUACUGUCACAUGUUUUACCUUGUGGGUACACGAUGUUUUACUGUACAGGCGUAGUUAAUACAUGAUUAUGGUUUAUGAGGGAGGCAAGGAUUUAUAUCUAGAAAAAUUUCCAAGGUUGUCUCUGAUGUAUGCUUCGUUUUACUCACUUAGAUUUAAGAUUUUAUACAUAUAUAUGUAGACAUACACAAGCAUAACCUUAGAGAUCUACCUGAAUAUAAAUCCUUGCCUCCCUCAUCUAAAAUCUUGAGUUAAGAGUAUCUGUUUGGUUCUUGGAUCCUCAUAUUUAAAGUAUGAAACUUCCGUAUAAAUACUUCAUGAAUAUGUAAAAUAUGGCGCAAACGUUAAAUUAUUUACAGUGUUUCUGGAUUAAUUAAGUAAAAUUUUUUUAUCGGGCACGCUUACGUGCCCAACUGCUGAUCAAUCGAUUUAGUACGUGCGUUACAAGGAAAGUAAUCAUUGAUUAUACUGACUGAGCAGUUUUGGUUUACACGUGAGGUACACACUCUUCUUGCCGGUCUGGGGAGGCGGCUACGGUCAGUAACGAAGCCGCCCGUGCGCAUUGAGGGCUGUUCGUAGCUAGCUAGGAAGAGGCAGACGGUGACUGCGCUGACCAGGAUGUGGAUGUGGAUGUGGAGGCACUACUGCUAAACGAAUUCUAGUGCCUUCGAACCCAACUACCUCACGAACAUAAAUCAAAAACAAAACUGGAACACUUUGAACGAUGGAUACCUACUUUGACACAUUAUAACUACUUUGAUACAUAUACAUGCCUACUUUGAACGAUCAUAACCAUUGUACAUAACCUAUAUACACAAGUACUG